This 231-nucleotide ribosomal RNA is filed under the name uncultured bacterium. RNAcentral's name for it is "partial 16S ribosomal RNA". It matches the Rfam family "Bacterial small subunit ribosomal RNA", at positions 524 to 753 of the family's 1533-position model. The record is from RNAcentral.
UACGGAGGGUGCGAGCGUUGUCCGGAAUCACUGGGCGUAAAGGGCGCGUAGGUGGCGCGGGCAGUCAACGGUGAAAGUUCGGGGCUCAACCCUGAAUCGGCCGUCGAUACUCCCGUGCUUGAGCACUGUAGAGGCAGAUGGAAUUCCUGGUGUAGCGGUGAAAUGCGCAGAUAUCAGGAAGAACACCCGUGGCUAAGGCGGCUCUCUAGUACGUGACUGGACGCUGAGACG